This 440-nucleotide ribosomal RNA is filed under the name uncultured bacterium. Its description in RNAcentral is "partial 16S ribosomal RNA". It matches the Rfam family "Bacterial small subunit ribosomal RNA", at positions 338 to 795 of the family's 1533-position model. The record is from RNAcentral.
CCUACGGGAGGCAGCAGUGGGGGAUAUUGCACAAUGGGGGAAACCCUGAUGCAGCGACGCCGCGUGUAGGAAGACGGUCCUCUGGAUUUUAAACUACUGUCCCCAGGGACGAAGAUGACGGUACCUGGGGAGGAAGCUCCGGCUAAGUACGUCCCAGCAGCCGCGGUAAUACGUAGGGAGCGAGCGUUGUCCGGAAUUACUGGGUGUAAAGGGAGCGUAGGCGGGGAUGCAAGUUGGGUGUUAAAUCUACCGGCUCAACUGGUAGUCGCACUUAAAACUGCAGCUCUUGAGUGAAGUAGAGGCAGGCGGAAUUCCUAGUGUGGCGGUGAAAUGCGUAGAUAUUAGGAGGAGCACCAGUGGCGAAGGCGGCCUGCUGGGCUUUUACUGACGCUGAGGCUCGAAAGUGUGGGGAGCAAACAGGAUUAGAUACCCUGGUAGUC